GUUGAAUGUUAUCCCCGACCAAUCAACAGGCUGUGAUAGCGUACUGCCACUUUCACUUUCUGAUUACUAGAAAUCAGGAGGACGGUUCAAGAGUGAAAAUUCCCGACACCUGGUAAACCUGUCCUCCUGGUAGUGCUGGAUCACACCUUCGAUCCAGACUACACUGUACCUGACAGUAGCAGACUAGUGACCAGAGGUGAUGUAAUACUCACAGUGGACUGUCUCUUCCAUGAGAGCAAAGGACUAUACUGAAGUGUCCACGCAAUGAAGCAGCAGUCAAUUACAUUUUGAAGAAGCUUGACAUACGCCCUGAGACUAUAAAUGAAGAGGCAAACUGUACAGCCAAUGGAGACAAGCUGUUGUGGUAUUUUCCUCAACGACCACUGUUGCUGUUUUCUACCCUCCAGAGUAUGUCCUACAGAGGACCAGAAAACCCCUUAUUCGAGAACAGAGGACAGACACAUUGUGUGGUCCUCUUGUAAUGCAUCCAAUGACUGUGACUGAAAUCAAUUGCAGGAAGUACAUUUUCUGAUGAAUAUUACAUUAUGUGAGAUUUGUUUUAGGGGAAAUAGACACAUGCAUCUCAAUCAUCUGAAAUUAGCCUACUAUAACAUGUAGUGGUAUAUUCUCUUUCCAAGCCGUGUACCUGUAUAUUUACUUUAUGUGUAGGCCGCAGCUACAACAUCAAACAAAAACAAGAAAUGUGUGCUUAAAAUACAAUUUAUACAUUGAUAAUGACUGAGAUGGUUAUACCUGUGAUAAAACAAAACAAUAUAUUCAAUAUUAUUAUAAACCGGGAAGUUUAGCUCCUAGAUGUUGAUUGCCUGAAACCUUUUUGCAGCGUUCACGUGCUGGUCGGAAAUCGGAAAUGUACGACUUGCUAACUGGUUGAAUGCGGCAUGUGUAAAAAACAAUAUACCACGGCUAAGGGCUGUAUCCAGACACUUCACUUUGCUCUGUGCCUAAAAACAGCCCUCAUGCUGCGUUCAUGACAAAGUUGGAAAUUACCACAUACAACUGGGAAAAAUCCACUUGAAUGGCCCCCCAACUGGUCAUUACUAGUGGGAAACUCAUCCAUCAUCCUGAUCUCCAACUUCUCCCACAUGCUGACCUCACCUACUAAGGAAAUUACCUCUAUAAAAGCAUUUAACAGUUAAAUGCAAAAACCAAACUAUUUAUAAAAAGCUAUCCAGUAAUAUGUUUACAAGCAUGAUAGCUGUACUUUUAGUUGAUGGUUUAGGCAUCUUGUUGGACUUUAGCCAAUCAUGGUUAUGAAGGCAGCAUCAGCUGUGGUAUAUUGGCCACAUACCACACCCCCUCGGCCCUUAUUGUUUAAAUAAUAUACUGAACAUGCCUUAGACAUUACUAUGUCUAAUAUGUGAGCCAAUGAACUCACAAAUUCAUGCAGAUUAUUUAUGUUAAACCAAUCAAUACUUGCAUUGUGUCAAGCUAUUUGACCUUUACUUUGUCAGAAAAUUGAGUAUUGUUGUGACAAUAAUGACCUGCUGUGCAAGAAACCAAUA
This is a long non-coding RNA of Salvelinus namaycush (lake trout), 1523 nucleotides long. RefSeq lists it as uncharacterized. The transcript has 4 exons. The record is from RefSeq and is a predicted model, not a curated record. NCBI's taxonomy places the organism in Eukaryota, Metazoa, Chordata, Actinopteri, Salmoniformes, Salmonidae.